GAUGAACGCUGGCGGCGUGCCUAAUACAUGCAAGUCGAGCGGACAGACGAUGAGCUUUCUCCUCUACCGUUAGCGGCGGACGGGUGAGUGACACGUGGAUAGGCAUCCUAUAUUUCUUGGGGAACAUCGUGAAACCGGAGCUAAUACCAGCUCAUAUAUUCAACCGCAUGAUUCAAUGGUUCAACACACUUUUCCUGUCUCUUUUAGCUGAUUCCGAGGCGCAUUAGCUAGUUGGUAAGGUAACGGCUUACCAAGGCAACGAUGCGUAGCCGAACUGAGAGGAUGAUCAGCCACACUGGAACUGAGACACGGUCCAGACUCCUACGGGAGGCAGCAGUAGGGAAUAUUCCGCAAUGGGCGAAAGCCUGACGGAGCAACGCCGCGUGAGUGAUGAAGGUCUUCGGAUUGUAAAGCUCUGUUAUUAGGAAAGAAAAAAUGUGUAAGUAAAUAUGCACGUCUUGACGGUACCAAAACAGAAAGCCACGGCUAACUACGUG
RNAcentral lists this ribosomal RNA (497 nucleotides) under uncultured bacterium. RNAcentral describes it as "partial 16S ribosomal RNA". It matches the Rfam family "Bacterial small subunit ribosomal RNA", at positions 28 to 507 of the family's 1533-position model. The record is from RNAcentral.